Molecule: unclassified non-coding RNA, 376 nt
Filed under: uncultured Alphaproteobacteria bacterium
Lineage: Bacteria; Pseudomonadati; Pseudomonadota; Alphaproteobacteria
Description: contains 16S-23S intergenic spacer region
Source: RNAcentral
UCCGGCUUACCGCCGGCAGUCCCUCUAGAGUGCCCAACUAAAUGAUGGCAACUAAAGGCAAGGGUUGCGCUCGUUGCGGGACUUAACCCAACAUCUCACGACAUGAGCUGACGACAGCCAUGCAGCACCUGUGCGAGGAGCCCUCGCGGGAACGUACAUCUCUGUACGCGUCUCCUCCAUGUCAAGUCCUGGUAAGGUUCUGCGCGUUGCGUCGAAUUAAACCACAUGCUCCACCGCUUGUGCGGGCCCCCGUCAAUUCCUUUGAGUUUCAACCUUGCGGCCGUACUCCCCAGGCGGUGUGCUUAUCGCGUUAGCUACGACACUGAACAGUCAGACUGCCCAACAUCCAGCACACAUCGUUUACGGCGUGGACUAC